Molecule: ribosomal RNA, 254 nt
Filed under: uncultured bacterium
Lineage: Bacteria
Description: partial 16S ribosomal RNA
Rfam family: Bacterial small subunit ribosomal RNA
Source: RNAcentral
UACAUGGGGUGCAAACGUUGCUCGGAAUUAUUGGGCGUAAAGCGCACGUAGGCGGUUCGUUAAGUCGGAUGUGAAAGCCCUCGGCUCAACUGAGGAAGUGCACCCGAAACUGGCGAGCUUGAGUACGAAAGAGGAUCGCGGAAUUCCCGGUGUAGAGGUGAAAUUCGUAGAUAUCGGGAGGAACACCGGUGGCGAAGGCGGCGAUCUGGGUCGAUACUGACGCUGAGGUGCGAAAGCGUGGGGGAGCAAACAGG